AACGAACGCUGGCGGCAUGCCUAACACAUGCAAGUCGAACGAGACCUUCGGGUCUAGUGGCGCACGGGUGCGUAACGCGUGGGAACCUGCCCUUAGGUUCGGAAUAACUCCCCGAAAGGGGUGCUAAUACCGGAUAAUGUCUUCGGACCAAAGAUUUAUCGCCUUUGGAUGGGCCCGCGUUGGAUUAGCUAGUUGGUAGGGUAAAAGCCUACCAAGGCGACGAUCCAUAGCUGGUCUGAGAGGAUGAUCAGCCACACUGGGACUGAGACACGGCCCAGACUCCGACGGGAGGCAGCAGUGGGGAAUAUGGGACAAUGGGCGAAAGCCUGAGCCAGCAAUGCCGCGUGAGUGAUGAAGGCCUUAGGGUUGUAAAGCUCUUUUACCCGGGAUGAUAAUGACAGUACCGGGAGAAUAAGCUCCGGCUAACUCCGG
RNAcentral lists this ribosomal RNA (432 nucleotides) under uncultured bacterium. Its description in RNAcentral is "partial 16S ribosomal RNA". It matches the Rfam family "Bacterial small subunit ribosomal RNA", at positions 29 to 506 of the family's 1533-position model. The record is from RNAcentral.